UGCCAGCAGCCGCGGUAAUACAGAGGGUGCAAACGUUGCUCGGAAUUACUGGGCGUAAAGCGCGCGUAGGCGGACGGGUAAGUCAGAUGUGAAAGCCCUGAGCUCAACUUAGGAACUGCAUUUGAAACUACCUGUCUCGAGUGAUGGAGAGGGAAGCGGAAUUCCUGGUGUAGAGGUGAAAUUCGUAGAUAUCAGGAGGAACACCGGUGGCGAAGGCGGCUUCCUGGACAUUUACUGACGCUGAGGCGCGAAAGCGUGGGGAGCAAACAGGAUUAGAUA
RNAcentral lists this ribosomal RNA (279 nucleotides) under uncultured bacterium. RNAcentral describes it as "partial 16S ribosomal RNA". It matches the Rfam family "Bacterial small subunit ribosomal RNA", at positions 506 to 784 of the family's 1533-position model. The record is from RNAcentral.